Molecule: transfer RNA, 85 nt
Filed under: Desulfoscipio geothermicus
Lineage: Bacteria; Bacillati; Bacillota; Clostridia; Eubacteriales; Desulfallaceae
Also listed under: 1 other name
Description: tRNA_Leu_TAG
Rfam family: tRNA
About the family: Transfer RNA (tRNA) molecules are approximately 80 nucleotides in length. Their secondary structure includes four short double-helical elements and three loops (D, anti-codon, and T loops).
Source: RNAcentral
GCGGGCGUGGCGGAACGGCAGACGCGCUGGACUUAGGAUCCAGUGGGGCACACCCGUGGGGGUUCAAAUCCCUUCGCCCGCACCA